This 71-nucleotide transfer RNA is filed under the name Crassostrea tulipa. RNAcentral's name for it is "tRNA-Ser". Lineage: Eukaryota; Metazoa; Mollusca; Bivalvia; Ostreida; Ostreidae. The record is from RNAcentral.
GAAGAGAUAAGUGGCCUUAACGCUGUGACUUCUAAUCAUAGUUGGUGCAAUUCGAUUUUGUGCUCUCUUCU